RNAcentral lists this ribosomal RNA (253 nucleotides) under uncultured bacterium. Its description in RNAcentral is "partial 16S ribosomal RNA". It matches the Rfam family "Bacterial small subunit ribosomal RNA", at positions 524 to 776 of the family's 1533-position model. The record is from RNAcentral.
UACGGAGGGUGCAAGCGUUAUCCGGAUUUAUUGGGUUUAAAGGGUCCGUAGGCGGAUCUGUAAGUCAGUGGUGAAAUCUCACAGCUUAACUGUGAAACUGCCAUUGAUACUGCAGGUCUUGAGUAAGGUAGAAGUGGCUGGAAUAAGUAGUGUAGCGGUGAAAUGCAUAGAUAUUACUUAGAACACCAAUUGCGAAGGCAGGUCACUAUGUCUUAAUUGACGCUGAUGGACGAAAGCGUGGGGAGCGAACAGG